Molecule: ribosomal RNA, 207 nt
Filed under: uncultured bacterium
Lineage: Bacteria
Description: partial 16S ribosomal RNA
Rfam family: Bacterial small subunit ribosomal RNA
Source: RNAcentral
CGUGCAGGCGGGUUGGUAAGUCAGAUGUGAAAGCCCUGGGCUCAACCCAGGAAGUGCAUUUGAAACUGCCAUCCUUGAGUAUGGGAGAGGAGAGUGGAAUUCCCAAUGUAGAGAUGAAAUUCGUAGAUAUUGGGAGGAACACCCGUGGCGAAGGCGACUCUCUGGACCAAUACUGACGCUGAGACGCGAAAGCGUGGGGAGCAAACA